Non-coding RNA from Xylariomycetidae sp. FL2044, 73 nucleotides. The record is from the annotation of a GenBank genome assembly. Lineage: Eukaryota; Fungi; Ascomycota; Sordariomycetes.
GCCUCUAUGGCCAAGUGGUAAGGCGUCGCACUCGUAAUGCGAAGACUCGUGCGUUCGAAUCGCACUGGAGGCA